RNAcentral lists this ribosomal RNA (393 nucleotides) under uncultured Glomeromycotina. RNAcentral describes it as "SSU rRNA". It matches the Rfam family "Eukaryotic small subunit ribosomal RNA", at positions 699 to 1092 of the family's 1831-position model. The record is from RNAcentral. Lineage: Eukaryota; Fungi; Glomeromycota.
CUUCUUGACGAACCGUGAUGUCAUUAAUUUGGUGUUGCGGGAAAUCAGGACUGUUACUUUGAAAAAAUUAAAGUGUUUAAAGCAGGCUAACGCUUGAAUACAUUACCAUGGAAUAAUGAAAUAGGACGUUAAUCCUAUUUUGUUGGUUUCUAGGAUCGACGUAAUGAUUAAUAGGGAUAGUUGGGGGCAUUAGUAUUCAAUUGUCAGAGGUGAAAUUCUUGGAUUUAUUGAAGACUAACUACUGCGAAAGCAUUUGCCAAGGAUGUUUUCAUUAAUCAAGAACGAAAGUUAGGGGAUCGAAGACGAUCAGAUACCGUCGUAGUCUUAACCAUAAACUAUGCCGACUAGGGAUCGGAUGAUGUUAUUUUUUAAUGACUCAUUCGGCGCCUUACG